This is a non-coding RNA of Vicia faba (fava bean), 267 nucleotides long. The record is from the annotation of a GenBank genome assembly. NCBI's taxonomy places the organism in Eukaryota, Viridiplantae, Streptophyta, Magnoliopsida, Fabales, Fabaceae.
AUGCCACUUUGGACAGAUCAAAUUACAAAUGCUAAGUUUAUUGUUGAUGUAUGGAAAAUUGGAGUUAGAGCUGUUAAAGAUGUGAAAGAGAUUGUGAGAAGAGAAAUUAUUGAAGAUUGUGUAAGGAAAAUAAUGAAUACUGAAAAGGGAAAGGAAAUGAAGAAAAAUGCUAUGAAAUGGAAAAUUUUGGCUAAGCAUUCUGUCGAUGAGGGUGGAAGUUCUUAUAAGAAUAUUCUUGAAUUUGUGAAUGAACUAACUUUCUACUAA